AUUGAACGCUGGCGGCAUGCCUUACACAUGCAAGUCGAACGGCAGCACGGGUUCUUGCACCUGGUGGCGAGUGGCGAACGGGUGAGUAAUACAUCGGAACAUGUCCUGUAGUGGGGGAUAGCCCGGCGAAAGCCGGAUUAAUACCGCAUACGAUCUACGGAUGAAAGCGGGGGCCCUUCGGGCCUCGCGCUAUAGGGUUGGCCGAUGGCUGAUUAGCUAGUUGGUGGGGUAAAGGCCUACCAAGGCGACGAUCAGUAGCUGGUCUGAGAGGGCGACCAGCCACACUGGGACUGAGACACGGCCCAGACUCCUAAGGGAAGACACAGUGGGGAAUUUUGGACAAUGGGCGAAAGCCUGAUCCAGCAAUGCCGCGUGUGUGAAGAAGGACUUCGGGUUGGAAAGCACUUUUGUCCGGAAAGAAAUCCUUGGCCCUAAUACGGUCGGGGGAUGACGGUACCGGAAGAAUAAGCACCGGCUAACUACGUG
This 486-nucleotide ribosomal RNA is filed under the name uncultured bacterium. RNAcentral describes it as "partial 16S ribosomal RNA". It matches the Rfam family "Bacterial small subunit ribosomal RNA", at positions 30 to 507 of the family's 1533-position model. The record is from RNAcentral.